AUACGGAGGAUGCGAGCGUUAUCCGGAUUUAUUGGGUUUAAAGGGAGCGUAGGCGGGAGCUUAAGUCAGCGGUUAAAUGGUGCGGCUCAACCGUGCCCUGCCGUUGAAACUGGGUUUCUUGAGAGUGCAAGAGGCGGAUGGAAUUCAUGGUGUAGCGGUGAAAUGCUUAGAUAUCAUGAAGAACUCCGAUUGCGAAGGCAGUCCGCUGGGGCACGUCUGACGCUGAUGCUCGAAGGUGCGGGAAUCAAACAGGAUUAGAUACCCUGGUAGUCCGCACGGUAAACGAUGAUUACCCGCUGUCGGCGGCAGACAGUCGGCGGCCAAGCGAAAGCGAUAAGUAAUCCACCUGGGGGGUACGCCGGCAACGGUGAAACUCAAAUGAAUUGACGGGG
RNAcentral lists this ribosomal RNA (392 nucleotides) under uncultured bacterium. RNAcentral's name for it is "partial 16S ribosomal RNA". It matches the Rfam family "Bacterial small subunit ribosomal RNA", at positions 523 to 918 of the family's 1533-position model. The record is from RNAcentral.